RNAcentral lists this ribosomal RNA (391 nucleotides) under uncultured bacterium. RNAcentral describes it as "bacterial SSU rRNA". It matches the Rfam family "Bacterial small subunit ribosomal RNA", at positions 362 to 758 of the family's 1533-position model. The record is from RNAcentral.
UCUUCCGCAAUGGACGGAAGUCUGACGGAGCGACGCCGCUUGGAGGAGGAAGCCCUUCGGGGUGUAAACUCCUGAACUGGGGACGAAAGCCCCGUGUAGGGGGAUGACGGUACCCAGGUAAUAGCGCCGGCCAACUCCGUGCCAGCAGCCGCGGUAAUACGGAGGGCGCGAGCGUUACCCGGAUUUACUGGGCGUAAAGGGCGUGUAGGCGGCCUGGGGCGUCCCAUGUGAAAGGCCACGGCUCAACCGUGGAGGAGCGUGGGAUACGCUCAGGCUAGAGGGUGGGAGAGGGUGGUGGAAUUCCCGGAGUAGCGGUGAAAUGCGCAGAUACCGGGAGGAACGCCGAGGCGAAGGCAGCCACCGGUCCUUUGACUGACGCUGAGGCGCGAAA